AAAGUAUCGUUUAUUUGAUAGUACCUUACUACUUGGAUAACCGUGGUAAUUCUAGAGCUAAUACAUGCUAAAAACCCCGACUUCGGAAGGGGUGUAUUUAUUAGAUUAAAAACCAAUGCCCUUCGGGGCUCCUUGGUGAUUCAUGAUAACUUCGCGAAUCGCAUGGCCUUGCGCCGGCGAUGGUUCAUUCAAAUUUCUUCCCUAUCAACUUUCGAUGUUUGGGUAUUGGCCAAACAUGGUUGCAACGGGUAACGGAGGGUUAGGGCUCGACCCCGGAGAAGGAGCCUGAGAAACGGCUACUACAUCCAAGGAAGGCAGCAGGCGCGCAAAUUACCCAAUCCCGACACGGGGAGGUAGUGACAAUAAAUACUGAUACAGGGCUCUUUAGGGUCUUGUAAUUGGAAUGAGUACAAUUUAAAUCCCUUAACGAGGAACAAUUGGAGGGCAAGUCUGGUGCCAGCAGCCGCGGUAAUUCCAGCUCCAAUAGCGUAUAUUAAAGUUGUUGUGGUUAAAAAGCUCGUAGUUGAACCUUGGGCCUGGCUGGCCGGUCCGCCUCACCGCGUGCACUGGUCCGGCCGGGCCUUUCCCUCUGUGGAACCCCAUGCCCUUCACUGGGCGUGGCGGGGAAACAGGACUUUUACUUUGAAAAAAUUAGAGUGCUCAAGGCAGGCCUAUGCUCGAAUACAUUAGCAUGGAAUAAUAAAAUAGGACGCGCGGUUCUAUUUUGUUGGUUUCUAGGACCGCCGUAAUGAUUAAUAGGGACAGUCGGGGGCAUCAGUAUUCAAUUGUCAGAGGUGAAAUUCUUGGAUUUAUUGAAGACUAACUACUGCGAAAGCAUUUGCCAAGGAUGUUUUCAUUAAUC
Molecule: ribosomal RNA, 862 nt
Filed under: uncultured fungus
Lineage: Eukaryota; Fungi
Description: SSU rRNA
Rfam family: Eukaryotic small subunit ribosomal RNA
Source: RNAcentral